AUACCGGCUGCUCGAGUGAUGGCCACUAUUACUGGGUUUAAAGCGUCCGUAGCUUGACUGUUAGGUCUCUUGGGAAAUCUUUUGGCUUAACCAAAAGGCGUCUAAGAGAUACCGGCAUUCUUGGAACUGGGAGAGGUAAGCCGUACUUCGGGGGUAGGAGUGAAAUCUUGUAAUCCUCGAGGGACGACCUAUGGCGAAGGCAGCUUACCAGAACAGCGUCGACAGUGAGGGACGAAAGCUGGGGGAGCAAACGGGAUUAGAUACCCCGGUAGUCCCAGCCGUAAACAAUGUGCGUUAGGUGUGUCGGUUACCACGCGUAACUGAUGCGCCGAAGAGAAAUCGUGAAACGCACCACCUGGGAAGUACGGUCGCAAGGCUGAAACUCAAAGGAAUUGGCGGGG
RNAcentral lists this ribosomal RNA (401 nucleotides) under uncultured bacterium. RNAcentral describes it as "partial 16S ribosomal RNA". It matches the Rfam family "Archaeal small subunit ribosomal RNA", at positions 473 to 873 of the family's 1478-position model. The record is from RNAcentral.